RNAcentral lists this ribosomal RNA (465 nucleotides) under uncultured bacterium. RNAcentral's name for it is "partial 16S ribosomal RNA". It matches the Rfam family "Bacterial small subunit ribosomal RNA", at positions 28 to 507 of the family's 1533-position model. The record is from RNAcentral.
GACGAACGCUGGCGGCGUGCUUAACACAUACAAGUCGAACGGAAAGGCCCCUUCGGGGGUACUCGAGUGGCGAACAGGUGAGUAACACGUGAGUAACCUGCCCUUGACUUCGGGAUAACUUCAGGAAACUGGGGCUAAUACCGGAUAGGAAUCCUUGCUGCAUGGUGGGGGUUGGAAAGCUUCGGCGGUUUUGGAUGGACUCGCGGCUUAUCAGCUUGUUGGUGGGGUAGUGGCUUACCAAGGCUUUGACGGGUAGCCGGCCUGAGAGGGCGACCGGCCACAUUGGGACUGAGAUACGGCCCAGACUCCUACGGGAGGCAGCAGUGGGGAAUAUUGCACAAUGGGCGGAAGCCUGAUGCAGCAACGCCGCGUGCGGGAUGACGGCCUUCGGGUUGUAAACCGCGUUCAGCAGGGGCGAAGCUUGUGGUGACGGUACCUGCAGAAGAAGCACCGGCUAACUACGUG